AUGCAGGGAGAGGGGGCCGGAAGGUGGAGGAGGGGGGCCCCGUGCGCCGCCGAGGAGGCGACGCCUGAGGGAGAAGAAGAGGAGGAGAGGCUAGCCGCGAGAUGCAUGGCAAAUAAGAUCACUGCGGUUUACACCUUCGACACCCUAACCAUUCUUCAAGCCAGACACUUGAGCGGCCGCCGGCGGCGGGUGCCGAGGAUGCGCGGCGCCAAAGUGGCUAAACCACCCUCGAGAAAGUUUCGUGGCGUCUAUGAAAGACAGCCCGGCCGGUGGGUGGCCGACUUCCGGAGCCAUCGCCUCAACAUCCGCCGAUGGAUCGGCACCUUCCCUUCCGAGGCGGAGGCCAAAGCGGCCUACGAUGACUUCGUGACGCGCUUCUCCUUAAGCGGCUACGUUCACGUUGCGAUUGUGACGGCGUCGCCGGCAGACUUGAGUCGCAACGGCCACAAGAUCGAUCUUGUAUCAGAUGAAUCGAAUCAGUCGGAGAUGAGAUUGAAGCAAGAUGCGGGGGCGGAGGCGGCGCCGUGCAUGCCUUCUUUGACAUCGCCGGCGUCGCCGCCACUGCCGGCGGCGGUCAUGCCGCAUGAGGCGCUCCCGUACGCGGAUGAGCGGCAGAUGGGCGAGCCAUUCGUGGCGGAGGAUCUCGCCAGCAACCAUCUCAUUGCCGCGGCUGAUCUCGCCAACCUGCCUUUGCCGUCCUUGGAUGACAAACUGGACUUCAGUUCAGGUGAUUGGUCGCUCGCUAGUUCCGGAUUACAGUGA
Molecule: ribosomal RNA, 762 nt
Filed under: Triticum aestivum (bread wheat)
Lineage: Eukaryota; Viridiplantae; Streptophyta; Magnoliopsida; Poales; Poaceae
Description: partial small subunit ribosomal RNA
Source: RNAcentral